This 36-nucleotide non-coding RNA is filed under the name unclassified sequences. Its description in RNAcentral is "DUF805b RNA". It matches the Rfam family "DUF805b RNA". From Rfam's summary of the family: Bacteroidetes, Chlorobi (1 example), Proteobacteria. Lineage (Flavobacteria) The record is from RNAcentral.
AUGGAGUAAGCUGAAAAUCCUUAUAAAGAGUAGGCG